This 497-nucleotide ribosomal RNA is filed under the name uncultured bacterium. RNAcentral describes it as "partial 16S ribosomal RNA". It matches the Rfam family "Bacterial small subunit ribosomal RNA", at positions 28 to 507 of the family's 1533-position model. The record is from RNAcentral.
GAUGAACGCUGGCGGCGUGCCUAAUACAUGCAAGUCGAGCGAACGGACGAGAAGCUUGCUUCUCUGAUGUUAGCGGCGGACGGGUGAAUAACACGUGGAUAACCUACCUAUAAGACUGGGAUAACUUCGGGAAGCCGUAGCUAAUACCGGAUAAUAUUUUGAACCGCAUGGUUCAAAAGUGAAAGACGGUCUUGCUGUCACUUAUAGAUGGAUCCGCGCUGCAUUAGCUAGUUGGUAAGGUAACGGCUUACCAAGGCAACGAUGCAUAGCCGACCUGAGAGGGUGAUCGGCCACACUGGAACUGAGACACGGUCCAGACUCCUACGGGAGGCAGCAGUAGGGAAUCUUCCGCAAUGGGCGAAAGCCUGACGGAGCAACGCCGCGUGAGUGAUGAAGGUCUUCGGAUCGUAAAACUCUGUUAUUAGGGAAGAACAUAUGUGUAAGUAACUGUGCACAUCUUGACGGUACCUAAUCAGAAAGCCACGGCUAACUACGUG